UACGUAGGGUGCGAGCGUUGUCCGGAAUUACUGGGCGUAAAGAGCUCGUAGGUGGUUUGUCGCGUUGUUCGUGAAAACUCACAACUCAAUUGUGGGCGUGCGGGCGAUACGGGCAGACUGGAGUACUGCAGGGGAGACUGGAAUUCCUGGUGUAGCGGUGGAAUGCGCAGAUAUCAGGAGGAACACCUGUGGCGAAGGCGGCCAUCUGGACAACUACUGACACUGAGACGCGAAAGCGUGGGUAGCAAACAGG
RNAcentral lists this ribosomal RNA (253 nucleotides) under uncultured bacterium. RNAcentral describes it as "partial 16S ribosomal RNA". It matches the Rfam family "Bacterial small subunit ribosomal RNA", at positions 524 to 776 of the family's 1533-position model. The record is from RNAcentral.